RNAcentral lists this ribosomal RNA (435 nucleotides) under Triticum aestivum (bread wheat). RNAcentral's name for it is "partial small subunit ribosomal RNA". The record is from RNAcentral. Lineage: Eukaryota; Viridiplantae; Streptophyta; Magnoliopsida; Poales; Poaceae.
GAUACAAUGACGCAGCUAGGAAGCCUGGAUGUGGCGGCACCAUACAUCAAGAAGCUCAAAGAGAGGGUCGAUGAGCUACAACGUAAGAGGACCUCAACACCCACUACAACCACUACCACAAGCAGCGGAGCAAGGUCACCAGAAGGAGAAAAAUAUUUGGAGGCAUCACCACCGGUAGUGGAGGUGCGACAACCUGAUGAUUCAAGCAUGGAGGUGAGGCUGAUAUGCAGCACGGAGAGACCGAUCAAGCUCCAUGAGGUGAUUACCAUCCAUGAAGAAGAAGGGGCCGACAUUGUCAAUGCCAAUCACUCCGUUGCUGGCCACAAAAUAUUUUACACUAUACACUCCCGGGCCUUCAGCACCAGAAUUGGCAUAGAUGUUUCAAGAAUUUCUGAACGACUAAGAGCACUGGGCAAUUUUUGGUUCAAACAAAUU